CCGAGUUUACAACUCCCAAACCCCUGUGAACAUACCACUUGUUGCCUCGGCGGAUCAGCCCGCUCCCGGUAAAACGGGACGGCCCGCCAGAGGACCCCUAAACUCUGUUUCUAUAUGUAACUUCUGAGGUAAAACCAUAAAUAAAUCA
Molecule: unclassified non-coding RNA, 148 nt
Filed under: soil metagenome
Description: partial internal transcribed spacer 1
Source: RNAcentral